This 199-nucleotide transfer-messenger RNA is filed under the name Staphylococcus aureus. Its description in RNAcentral is "partial transfer-messenger RNA". It matches the Rfam family "transfer-messenger RNA", at positions 170 to 374 of the family's 374-position model. From Rfam's summary of the family: Bacterial tmRNA, also known as 10Sa RNA or SsrA, is named for its dual tRNA and mRNA-like properties. Its role is to liberate the mRNA from a stalled ribosome. The record is from RNAcentral. Lineage: Bacteria; Bacillati; Bacillota; Bacilli; Caryophanales; Staphylococcaceae.
UGCUGUUAACGCGAUUCAACCUUAAUAGGAUAUGCUAAACACUGCCGUUUGAAGUCUGUUUAGAAGAAACUUAAUCAAACUAGCAUCAUGUUGGUUGUUUAUCACUUUUCAUGAUGCGAAACCUAUCGAUAAACUACACACGUAGAAAGAUGUGUAUCAGGACCUUUGGACGCGGGUUCAAAUCCCGCCGUCUCCAUAU